Molecule: ribosomal RNA, 253 nt
Filed under: uncultured bacterium
Lineage: Bacteria
Description: partial 16S ribosomal RNA
Rfam family: Bacterial small subunit ribosomal RNA
Source: RNAcentral
UACGUAGGUGGCAAGCGUUAUCUGGAUUUACUGGGUGUAAAGGGAGCGUAGACGGCAGAGCAAGUCUGAAGUGAAAGCCCGCGGCCCAACUGCGGGACUGCUUUGGAAACUGCCCGGCUAGAGUGCUGGAGAGGUAAGCGGAAUUCCUAGUGUAGCGGUGAAAUGCGUAGAUAUUAGGAGGAACACCAGUGGCGAAGGCGGCUUACUGGACAGUAACUGACGUUGAGGCUCGAAAGCGUGGGGAGCAAACAGG